RNAcentral lists this ribosomal RNA (717 nucleotides) under uncultured Streptococcus sp. RNAcentral's name for it is "bacterial SSU rRNA". It matches the Rfam family "Bacterial small subunit ribosomal RNA", at positions 28 to 717 of the family's 1533-position model. Lineage: Bacteria; Bacillati; Bacillota; Bacilli; Lactobacillales; Streptococcaceae. The record is from RNAcentral.
GACGAACGCUGGCGGCGUGCCUAAUACAUGCAAGUAGAACGCACAGGAUGCACCGUAGUUUACUACACCGUAUUCUGUGAGUUGCGAACGGGUGAGUAACGCGUAGGUAACCUGCCUGGUAGCGGGGGAUAACUAUUGGAAACGAUAGCUAAUACCGCAUAAGAACAUUUACUGCAUGGUAGAUGUUUAAAAGGUGCAAGAGCAUCACUACCAGAUGGACCUGCGUUGUAUUAGCUAGUUGGUGAGGUAACGGCUCACCAAGGCAACGAUACAUAGCCGACCUGAGAGGGUGAUCGGCCACACUGGGACUGAGACACGGCCCAGACUCCUACGGGAGGCAGCAGUAGGGAACCUUCGGCAAUGGGGGAAACCCUGACCGAGCAACGCCGCGUGAGUGAAGAAGGUUUUCGGAUCGUAAAGCUCUGUUGUUAAGGAAGAACGUGUGUGAGAGUGGAAAGUUCACACAGUGACGGUACUUAACCAGAAAGGGACGGCUAACUACGUGCCAGCAGCCGCGGUAAUACGUAGGUCUCGAGCGUUGUCCGGAUUUAUUGGGCGUAAAGCGAGCGCAGGCGGUUAGAUAAGUCUGAAGUGAAAGGCAGUGGCUCAACCCUUUGUAGGCUUUGGAAACUGUUUAACUUUAGUGCAAAAGGGGGAGAGUGGGAAUUCAUCUGUAGCGGUGAAAAAUCGUAAAUAUAUUGAAGAACCCCCUUGGGU